CCUACGGGAGGCAGCAGUGAGGAAUUUUGGUCAAUGGACGAGAGUCUGAACCAGCCAAGUCGCGUGAAGGAUGACUGCCCUAUGGGUUGUAAACUUCUUUUAUAAAGGAAUAAAACCAGGCACGUGUGCCUUUUUGCAUGUACUUUAUGAAUAAGGAUCGGCUAACUCCGUGCCAGCAGCCGCGGUAAUACGGAGGAUCCGAGCGUUAUCCGGAUUUAUUGGGUUUAAAGGGAGCGUAGAUGGGUUGUUAAGUCAGUUGUGAAAGGUUGCGGCUCAACCGGAAAAGUGCAAUUGAUACUGGCAGUCUUGAGUACAGUAGAGGUAGGCGGAAUUCGUGGUGUAGCGGUGAAAUGCUUAGAUAUCACGAAGAACUCCGAUUGCGAAGGCAGCUUACUAAACUGCCACUGACAUUGAGGCUCGAAAGUGUGGGUAUCAAACAGGAUUAGAUACCCUUGUAGUC
This 460-nucleotide ribosomal RNA is filed under the name uncultured bacterium. RNAcentral describes it as "partial 16S ribosomal RNA". It matches the Rfam family "Bacterial small subunit ribosomal RNA", at positions 338 to 795 of the family's 1533-position model. The record is from RNAcentral.